Molecule: ribosomal RNA, 460 nt
Filed under: uncultured bacterium
Lineage: Bacteria
Description: partial 16S ribosomal RNA
Rfam family: Bacterial small subunit ribosomal RNA
Source: RNAcentral
CCUACGGGAGGCAGCAGUGAGGAAUAUUGGUCAAUGGGCGCUAGCCUGAACCAGCCAAGUCGCGUGAAGGAUGACUGCCCUAUGGGUUGUAAACUUCUUUUAUAUGGGAAUAAAGUGCAGUAUGUAUACUGCUUUGCAUGUACCUUAUGAAUAAGGAUCGGCUAACUCCGUGCCAGCAGCCGCGGUAAUCCGGCGGAUCCGAGCGUUAUCCGGAUUUAUUGGGUUUAAAGGGAGCGUAGGCGGGUUGUUAAGUCAGUUGUGAAAGUUUGCGGCUCAACCGUAAAAUUGCAGUUGAUACUGGCAGCCUUGAGUACAGUAGAGGUAGGCGGAAUUCGUGGUGUAGCGGUGAAAUGCUUAGAUAUCACGAAGAACUCCGAUUGCGAAGGCAGCCUGCUGGACUGUAACUGACGCUGAUGCUCGAAAGUGUGGGUAUCAAACAGGAUUAGAUACCCGUGUAGUC